GCAUCUAUCGUAUAAUGGUAUUAUUGAGGUCUUCCAAACCUACGAUGUCAGUUCGAUUCUGACUAGAUGCUCCA
Molecule: transfer RNA, 74 nt
Filed under: Aeromonas phage 4_4572
Lineage: Duplodnaviria; Heunggongvirae; Uroviricota; Caudoviricetes; Grimontviridae
Description: tRNA-Gly
Rfam family: tRNA
About the family: Transfer RNA (tRNA) molecules are approximately 80 nucleotides in length.
Source: RNAcentral